UAUGCUGGAAAUUGAGAUAUUUGUGGCAUUGGGCACAUAUAAACUUUUUAUUCAUUGAGUUGAGCUUUGAGAGUUUUAGCAUAGUAGAUAUUAGUUUACAAAGCUAAUAUGAGGAUAGACUUUUAGCAUGUUUGGUUUGCGGUGGAAAGCUCGUAGAGGUGCGUAUGUCCAGAAGCUAAGAAUUCUAGCUUCUUAAAAUCAUGUGGAAAUCACAUUGGAACACGCAUUGAAGGGUUGUCGUGGUUUUUUUGAUUAUGAUGGUGAAGUAUAGUAUUAAUCAUGUGCUUAGCAGUUUUCCGUGCAUGUAUCAGCUCGCCGAAGGUGGUACAGCUGUAGGAACUGGAUUGAAUACUGUUCUUGGCGUCUAUCAUCACAUGCAGAAAAACAUUGGCUUGUAAUGUGCUCAUAUUCUCCUUUUGCAGGCUGCCCGUGAUGCUUUUGUUGAAACUAUUAUAUGAAGGCAUUAAGAGACGGUUGGGAGAGCCAAUUUCAGUGGGUGUGGACGAUCAACAGACUUUGAUGCUGCAGCCAGUACAGAAAAAUCUCUUGAGACAUGCUCACUUGUAGAGCAUAUAUUACAUUUGGAACCAACCGAGGUGAAGUAUAGUAUUAAUCAUGUGCUUAGCAGUUUUCCGUGCAUGUAUCAGGUUUGAAUACUUAAACACAAACAUCAAAUGCUUGUUCUUCACUCGUAUGCUUCUGGAGUUCUGAUUGGGUAGUUUUUACUUGAGCAGCUCGCCGAAGGUGGUACAGCUGUAGGAACUGGAUUGAAUACUGUUCUUGGCGUCUAUCAUCACAUGCAGAAAAACAUUGGCUUGUAAUGUGCUCAUAUUCUCCUUUUGCAGGCUGCCCGUGAUGCUUUUGUUGAAACUAUUAUAUGAAGGCAUUAAGAGACGGUUGGGAGAGCCAAUUUCAGUGGGUGUGGACGAUCAACAGACUUUGAUGCUGCAGCCAGUACAGAAAAAUCUCUUGAGACAUGCUCACUUGUAGAGCAUAUAUUACAUUUGGAACCAACCGAGGGGGAAGAUAUUAGUGUAUGUGUUUGUUUAGCAAGUUUGAUGUCAUUAUUUGAUGAAAAAGGAGACAAAGCAGGAUCCACCUACAUUGAGUUGAAAAAUUGUCAUUUGAAGGUGACAAAAUUUAGCUUUCUUUGAAGUUAACUACUUAGUUUCUUAUUCUCUCUAAACCCUGAAAUGAUCCUUGUUGCCAUGUGAUUUAAGUUGGAAAGCAAGCAUGAAGCUGCCUCAGCUAUUGUUGAUGUUGCACAUUACUAUAAAAAAUUAAUAUAAAUGCCAUGUUUGUGAGUGUGCGGUUAUUUAUAGCCACAAUGCAUUUGUUAGAGUGGCAUCACUUGUAUUAUGAUUAAGAAAGUAGAAAUUUCAAUGCUAAUUUUCAUCUA
Lathyrus oleraceus (garden pea) is the source of this 1399-nucleotide long non-coding RNA. RefSeq lists it as uncharacterized. NCBI's taxonomy places the organism in Eukaryota, Viridiplantae, Streptophyta, Magnoliopsida, Fabales, Fabaceae. The transcript has 8 exons. The record is from RefSeq and is a predicted model, not a curated record.